This 392-nucleotide ribosomal RNA is filed under the name uncultured Gammaproteobacteria bacterium. RNAcentral describes it as "bacterial SSU rRNA". It matches the Rfam family "Bacterial small subunit ribosomal RNA", at positions 370 to 779 of the family's 1533-position model. The record is from RNAcentral. Lineage: Bacteria; Pseudomonadati; Pseudomonadota; Gammaproteobacteria.
AAUGGGGGCAACCCUGAUCCAGCCAUGCCGCGUGAGUGAAGAAGGCCCUAGGGUCGUAAAGCUCUUUCGCCUGUGAUGAUAAUGACAGUAGCAGGUAAAGAAACCCCGGCUAACUCCGUGCCAGCAGCCGCGGUAAUACGGAGGGGGUUAGCGUUGUUCGGAAUUACUGGGCGUAAAGCGCGCGUAGGCGGAUUGGAAAGUUGGGGGUGAGAUCCCGGGGCUCAACCCCGGAACUGCCUUCAAAACUCCCAGUCUAGAGUUCGAGAGAGGUGAGUGGAAUUCCGAGUGUAGAGGUGAAAUUCGUAGAUAUUCGGAAGAACACCAGUGGCGAAGGCGGCUCACUGGCUCGAUACUGACGCUGAGGUGCGAAAGUGUGGGGAGCAAACAGGAUU